Molecule: ribosomal RNA, 497 nt
Filed under: uncultured bacterium
Lineage: Bacteria
Description: partial 16S ribosomal RNA
Rfam family: Bacterial small subunit ribosomal RNA
Source: RNAcentral
GAUGAACGCUGGCGGCGUGCCUAAUACAUGCAAGUCGAGCGAACAGACGAGGAGCUUGCUCCUCUGACGUUAGCGGCGGACGGGUGAGUAACACGUGGAUAACCUACCUAUAAGACUGGGAUAACUUCGGGAAACCGGAGCUAAUACCGGAUAACAUGUUGAACCGCAUGGUUCAACAGUGAAAGACGGUCUUGCUGUCACUUAUAGAUGGAUCCGCGCCGCAUUAGCUAGUUGGUAAGGUAACGGCUUACCAAGGCAACGAUGCGUAGCCGACCUGAGAGGGUGAACGGCCACACUGGAACUGAGACACGGUCCAGACUCCUACGGGAGGCAGCAGUAGGGAAUCUUCCGCAAUGGGCGAAAGCCUGACGGAGCAACGCCGCGUGAGUGAAGAAGGUCUUCGGAUCGUAAAACGCUGUUAUUAGGGAAGAACAAAUGUGUAAGUAACUAUGCACGUCUUGACGGUACCUAAUCAGAAAGCCACGGCUAACUACGUG